GAGGAAUUUUCCUGAGGUCACGCCGAAGGCGCACUUGGCGGGGUUGAGGCGCAGGCCGAACCUUCGCAGGGUGUCGAAUGUUUCAGCUAGGUCGGAAGGAUGGGCCUCCGCCGUUCGGCUCUUUACGAUCAUGUCGUCGACAUAUAUCUCCAUGUUUCGUCCAAUCUGAUGGGCGAAUAUCCUGUUCACCGUCCUCUGGUAGGU
Molecule: long non-coding RNA, 204 nt
Filed under: Musa acuminata (dwarf banana)
Lineage: Eukaryota; Viridiplantae; Streptophyta; Magnoliopsida; Zingiberales; Musaceae
Description: long non-coding RNA (MACU_LNC007293)
Source: RNAcentral